CUUUUAGACGAAUCAUUUCCUCCCCUACAAAUCGUUCUCUUUUUAAAACUCCUACCAACUUAAACGUAGAGUCUUUGUAAGUGACCACCACUGUCCUUUCAAUCUACGACAACGUCAACUCUAAUAUCACUCCUCAUUGUUGCAGUGUAGUAAUUGUUAGUUAAAAGUAUCACAUAGUGAGAUGACACAUAUAGUUAAUGUCUUAAUGUUUUAGAUGGAGAUAUAAUAUCUCUCUAAUUUAUAUGAUUGCUCCCAACGCAACGUGAAUGAUCUUCAGAUAGUCUCUCCCCAUGAUCCAACACAUUCACCAUUAAAGAUUUUUGUUGGUGUUACCCUUUGCUUUUUAGGAAAAAUGAGUCCUAAUAAUCUAAAGUUCGUCGAAAAAGUAAGCAAAAACUGACCAAAACUAAAAUCUUCACUAUUAAAAAUAAU
RNAcentral lists this long non-coding RNA (432 nucleotides) under Medicago truncatula (barrel medic). Its description in RNAcentral is "lncRNA gene373". The record is from RNAcentral. Lineage: Eukaryota; Viridiplantae; Streptophyta; Magnoliopsida; Fabales; Fabaceae.